GCUUACGGCCAUACCACCCUGAACACGCCCGAUCUCUCCGAUCUCGGAAGCUAAGCAGGGUCGGCCUGGUUAGUACUUGGAUGGGAGACCGCCUGGGAAUACCAGGUGCUGUAAGCU
RNAcentral lists this ribosomal RNA (117 nucleotides) under Labrus bergylta (ballan wrasse). Lineage: Eukaryota; Metazoa; Chordata; Actinopteri; Labriformes; Labridae. The record is from RNAcentral.